This 1000-nucleotide ribosomal RNA is filed under the name uncultured organism. RNAcentral describes it as "bacterial SSU rRNA". It matches the Rfam family "Bacterial small subunit ribosomal RNA", at positions 355 to 1375 of the family's 1533-position model. The record is from RNAcentral.
UGGGGGAUAUUGCGCAAUGGGGGCAACCCUGACGCAGCAACGCCGCGUGAAGGAUGAAGGUUUUCGGAUUGUAAACUUCUUUUAUUAAGGACGAAACUUGACGGUACUUAAUGAAUAAGCUCCGGCUAACUACGUGCCAGCAGCCGCGGUAAUACGUAGGGAGCAAGCGUUGUCCGGAUUUACUGGGUGUAAAGGGUGCGUAGGCGGCUUUGCAAGUCAGAUGUGAAAUCUAUGGGCUCAACCCAUAAACUGCAUUUGAAACUGUAGAGCUUGAGUGAAGUAGAGGCAGGCGGAAUUCCCCGUGUAGCGGUGAAAUGCGUAGAGAUGGGGAGGAACACCAGUGGCGAAGGCGGCCUGCUGGGCUUUAACUGACGCUGAGGCACGAAAGCGUGGGUAGCAAACAGGAUUAGAUACCCUGGUAGUCCACGCUGUAAACGAUGAUUACUAGGUGUGGGGGGUCUGACCCCUUCCGUGCCGGAGUUAACACAAUAAGUAAUCCACCUGGGGAGUACGGCCGCAAGGUUGAAAUUCAAAGGAAUUGACGGGGGCCCGCACAAGCAGUGGAGUAUGUGGUUUAAUUCGAAGCAACGCGAAGAACCUUACCAGGUCUUGACAUCCAACUAACGAAGUAGAGAUACAUUAGGUGCCCUUCGGGGAAAGUUGAGACAGGUGGUGCAUGGUUGUCGUCAGCUCGUGUCGUGAGAUGUUGGGUUAAGUCCCGCAACGAGCGCAACCCUUGCUAUUAGUUGCUACGCAAGAGCACUCUAAUAGGACUGCCGUUGACAAAACGGAGGAAGGUGGGGACGACGUCAAAUCAUCAUGCCCCUUAUGACCUGGGCUACACACGUACUACAAUGGAUGUUAACAGAGGGAAGCAAGACAGCGAUGUGGAGCAAACCCCUAAAAACAUUCUCAGUUCAGAUUGCAGGCUGCAACCCGCCUGCAUGAAGAUGGAAUUGCUAGUAAUCGCGGAUCAGCAUGCCGCGGUGAAUACGUUCCC